UCCCCACAAGUGGCACGUUCCGGAAUUCCCCGCAACUCAUAAUAACAUCCCGUACGUCCAUCCGGUAAGACUGCCAUCUGAUGUCAUAUGAAGUGAGAGACAUCACCCUCUGAGUCCACCUAUAAGUGCUCUGAGCAUCAACAAACGGUCCGCUGACUGGCAGGAGAGACAUGAACCAUUUGAGCAAAAGCGGGAGACAGCAUCUGAUAGCCCCACCCUUACCAUGCCUACUGUGGAUAGCAUAGUAAGUGUCGGCUAACAGAGUAG
This 267-nucleotide long non-coding RNA is filed under the name Lathyrus oleraceus (garden pea). RNAcentral describes it as "Pisum sativum (pea) long non-coding RNA (PSAT_LNC026963)". Lineage: Eukaryota; Viridiplantae; Streptophyta; Magnoliopsida; Fabales; Fabaceae. The record is from RNAcentral.